This 103-nucleotide microRNA precursor is filed under the name Marmota monax (woodchuck). Lineage: Eukaryota; Metazoa; Chordata; Mammalia; Rodentia; Sciuridae. The record is from RNAcentral.
AGUGGUAUAACUGGGUCAAUUGGUAGUUCCAUUCCAAGUUUUCUGAGAAAUCUCCAUACUGCUUUCCAGAGUGGUUGCACCAAUUUGCAAUUCCAAGAGCCAU